GGGCCUGUAGCUCAGCUGGCAGAGCGCUACAUUUGCAAUGUAGAGGUCACCGGUUCGAUCCCGGUCAGGUCCACCG
Molecule: transfer RNA, 76 nt
Filed under: Candidatus Chisholmbacteria bacterium RIFCSPHIGHO2_01_FULL_49_18
Lineage: Bacteria; Candidatus Chisholmiibacteriota
Also listed under: 1 other name
Description: tRNA-Ala
Rfam family: tRNA
About the family: Transfer RNA (tRNA) molecules are approximately 80 nucleotides in length. Their secondary structure includes four short double-helical elements and three loops (D, anti-codon, and T loops).
Source: RNAcentral